This 460-nucleotide ribosomal RNA is filed under the name uncultured bacterium. RNAcentral describes it as "partial 16S ribosomal RNA". It matches the Rfam family "Bacterial small subunit ribosomal RNA", at positions 338 to 795 of the family's 1533-position model. The record is from RNAcentral.
CCUACGGGAGGCAGCAGUGAGGAAUAUUGGUCAAUGGGCGCGAGCCUGAACCAGCCAAGCCGCGUGAAGGAUGACUGCCCAACGUGUCGUAAACUUCUUUUUUAAAGGAAUAAAGUCAGGCACGCGUGCCCUUUUGUAUGUACUUUAUGAAUAAGCAUCGGCUAACUCCGUUCCAGCAGCCGCGGUAAUACGGAGGAUUCGAUCUUUAUCCGGAUUUAUUGGGUUUAAAGGGGGCGUAGACGGGGUGUUAAGUCCGGUGUGAAAGUGUGUGGGUAAACCAUAAAAUUGCAAUUGAUACUGGCAGCCUUGAGUACAGGUGAGGUAGGCGGAAUUCGUGGUGUAGCGGUGAAAUGCUUAGAUAUCACGAAGAACUCCGAUUGCGAAGGCAGCCUACUAAACUGCCACUGACAUUGAGGCUCGAAAGUGUGGGUAUCAAACAGGAUUAGAUACCCGUGUAGUC